RNAcentral lists this transfer RNA (91 nucleotides) under Lasiodiplodia theobromae. RNAcentral's name for it is "Botryosphaeria rhodina tRNA". It matches the Rfam family "tRNA". From Rfam's summary of the family: Transfer RNA (tRNA) molecules are approximately 80 nucleotides in length. Their secondary structure includes four short double-helical elements and three loops (D, anti-codon, and T loops). Further hydrogen bonds mediate the characteristic L-shaped molecular structure. tRNAs have two regions of fundamental functional importance: the anti-codon, which is responsible for specific mRNA codon recognition, and the 3' end, to which the tRNAs corresponding amino acid is attached (by aminoacyl-tRNA synthetases). tRNAs cope with the degeneracy of the genetic code in two manners: having more than one tRNA (with a specific anti-codon) for a particular amino acid; and 'wobble' base-pairing, i.e. permitting non-standard base-pairing at the 3rd anti-codon position. Lineage: Eukaryota; Fungi; Ascomycota; Dothideomycetes; Botryosphaeriales; Botryosphaeriaceae. RNAcentral also lists the same sequence under 5 other names. The record is from Rfam by way of RNAcentral.
UCUUCGAUGGUCUAGUGGUGAUGAUUUCCGCUUGUCAAAGCAUCUGCUCUAGCAAGCGCGGGAGACCGGGGUUCGAUUCCCCGUCGGAGAG